Molecule: ribosomal RNA, 253 nt
Filed under: uncultured bacterium
Lineage: Bacteria
Description: partial 16S ribosomal RNA
Rfam family: Bacterial small subunit ribosomal RNA
Source: RNAcentral
UACGUAGGGUGCAAGCGUUGUCCGGAAUUAUUGGGCGUAAAGAGCUCGUAGGCGGUCUGUUGCGUCGGCUGUGAAAACCCGGGGCUCAACCCCGGGCCUGCAGCCGAUACGGGCAGACUAGAGUUCGGCAGGGGAGACUGGAAUUCCUGGUGUAGCGGUGAAAUGCGCAGAUAUCAGGAGGAACACCGGUGGCGAAGGCGGCAUCCUGGACCGGCAUUGACGCUGAGGCGCGAAAGCCAGGGGAGCAAACGGG